GGAAUCUUGCGCAAUGGGCGAAAGCCUGACGACGCAACGCCGCGUGGAGGAUGAAGAAUUUCGGUUCGUAAACUCUUUUCGACCGAGAUGAAUACCCACGGACCCAACACGUCUGUGGGCUGACAGUAUCGAGAGAAGAAGCCCCGGCUAACUAUGUGCCAGCAGCCGCGGUAAUACAGGGGGGGCAAGCGUUGUUCGGAAUUACUGGGCGUAAAGGGUUCGUAGGUGGCCACUUAAGUCAGACGUGAAAUCCCUCAGCUUAACUGGGGAACUGCGUCUGAUACUGAGUGGCUUGAGUGCAGGAGAGGAAUGCGGAAUUCCAGGUGUAGCGGUGAAAUGCGUAGAUAUCUGGAGGAACACCGGUGGCGAAGGCGGCAUUCUGGACUGUAACUGACACUGAGGAACGAAAGCCAGGGGAGCAAA
Molecule: ribosomal RNA, 423 nt
Filed under: uncultured bacterium
Lineage: Bacteria
Description: bacterial SSU rRNA
Rfam family: Bacterial small subunit ribosomal RNA
Source: RNAcentral